UCCUCUUGCUCCUCGUUUCCUUAUCUUUACUUCCUUCGUGAGACCUCUCCCUAUCUCUACUCCCUUCCCUCUCGCUUCGCUCGACAGAUCUCCUUCUCUCCCGAGCUCUAUCUCUCUCAUCCUCCCUAUCGUCGCGCCUCGAUGACAGGUGGUGAUCUGAAUCGCGACGCUUUGAAUCUCCAUUGCGAUGGCGGCGUCCGGCUUCGCGUUCCGGCGAACGAUCCGCACUCGAAUCACGAUCGCGAUAGUCCCUGGUGCUCCUGUAUCUCUCCUUAUCCAUGGCGAUUUAGGGUUUCUUCCUCACAUUCCCCUUCGAGUCUUUUAUUAUAACCGAAACCCCUUCCCACAACCGGAAUAAACCAGCGAGUCGUGUAAAAGCAGAAAUCGAUAAAGACUCUCGAAUCAAGUAUUCGCUGACCACUAGUCAAGCUUGCAAUAUGGGCCCAAGCCCAUUUCUAAUUCCUCUUCAAAGUUAUGGGCUUUAAAAUCGUUUUUUCUCUUUGUUAGAAAAUGAAGCUAUUUAAGCUCAAAAUCGAAAUGUAAGAAAAAAACAUGGGGAAUUCGGCCAAAAAAAACCUCAACUUUACACGAAUUGCCAAAACAAACAUGAACUUUGGGGCUGACCAAAAAAACACCAAACUUUCAUUGACUUUAGAAUUAAUUAACAAUAUUUUCGCUGACUUGCCAAUUUAGCACGCCGUCAACAAAUUUAACAGAAAUAUUUGACGUCGUUUAUUGUUGACGUUAAGUGAAACGACGUCGUUUUCAAAUGAGAUGAAACGACGUCGUUUUACAUGAUUUGAAAUUAAAAAUAUGUAAACACCUGGAUUCGAACCCAGGUUGGUUGGUCAAAUGGGAAUAUAUUUUACCACUGGGCUACUGGCACUUUCAAUGUACUUACUAAUAUGUUAACUUUUAUUUGGUACAUAUUAAAUAUAAAAAAUUCUCUAAAAACUUAAUAAGAUCUUUAAAAUUCCAAAAAAUUAAAAAAAUAAAGAAGAUUUUUAUAAAAUUAAUUUAGAAAUUAAAAUUAAAAAUAAAAUUUUAUUUUUCUUUUUAAAAAAUAAAAACUCUUCCAAAAUUUAUUUGGUCUGAAUCGAAGAAAGGUAACUAAGUGGUUCACAAUAAUAAGAUGAUUCAUUGUUACCAUAUUCUAAUAGUAAUCACCCUGGUGCUGAUUACAGAAUAAUACAAACUAUCAGAAGUAAUAGGCGGCAAACUAAUGAGCACACUAAGCCAACAGUCAAAGAGAUCAACAAUUGCAAUAUUAUGUAUACACAUCCAGACGAAAAGAAAUGGGAGAAUAAUUCUAAAUCGAAAUGAUAACCAACAGGAACCUUAGCUACAGUUAUGGUGAUUGUAGUAUGACUUUCAUCCAAUACCCUAGAUGUUACAAGUUUAGUUUGAUAAUUGUAGUAUGACUUGUUCUCCUCAAGGUUAUGCCAUGUUUAGCGUCAUCAGAUAAACAUUGGAAACAAAACAACUCAGCAUCAACAAAAAGGUAAAGUGGGAAGAAUUACGUACCACCACUCAACAUCUGGGAUUAUCUCCUUGGGUUUCUCUUUUCUCGGGGCACGUUCUGAUACCUCGAUCAAAUUUGGAUUUAUAUCAUCCCUGGCCUUAGCCAGAUGCGCUUGCUUCACCUUCAGCUCUCUUGCUUUUGCUUCACCAAAUUGACUCUACAAAUCAAACAUCAAAAUAACACACUGAAACAUCAGCAAAGGCCACCAAGAAUGAAAUGGUUAAAAAGAAUCCAUCAUAGAAAAAGACAACGCGUACCCUCAACUUCAAACUCUCAGCAUCUCUUGUCCAUUUACCUUCCUCAACAAACUGAAAACUCAUACGCUUGGGUCUCAAAAUCUUGUUUUUGUCAAUCCCCAUCCUCGGAUCAAAGUGGGGGUUUUCUUCUGGAUUUACUUCCAGUUGAGGUUUAAGAAUCUGAAAGGCAUCUUUCUUCUGUUUGUUGAUAUUAACCUGUAGAUAUCCAAGUAUAUUAGGAGCUCGAUCAUUAAAAAAAAUACAAAGUUUAGACAUUUAAAUUCACUUUAUUGACCUUUAAUGUACUAAGAUUGCUUGGCUUAGUCACGCUAAUCACAUUUCCAUGUUCAUCUAUCUCCCUUCCAAGGGCAUCCACACGCAGAACAGGAGCCUUUGCAGGUUUCUGUUGAACAGCCAUCGUCUCUGCAGGUGUCUGUCCUAGAAGAUAAUUGAUAAUGGUAGGAAACUCUGGAUCCUGACGGUACCCCAUCCUAGCUGCCACCUCCUGAGCUCUCUUAACAGCUUCAAUGUUGACCUUAUUCCCAAGGCCAGGCAAGACAGCAUGUGGUAAUGCUGAAGCAGAAGAUGUUCCUGCAGAGACAGCAGGAGUGGUAGUCGAUGGUGGCACUCUAGCAUGUGGGCUACCUUCUGAAGCCAACUUAAUACCUUGAUUCGCCUGCGUAAAGAAGAGUUAUCAAACUACAAAGUUCCCUCCAAGAAACAAAUGAUGAAUGCACAGAUCCGGAUAUCUUACCGAAGAAAGUUUCUUAAACCUGUCGGCUAAUCCCUUUCCAAGCUGAAUAGCUUUCUUAGCUUUAGCUAAUGCAUCAAGAGACAAGUUUGAACUACUUUGCCCGGAAGUUCUUCCAUCUGUACUAGAUUUUCCAUGAACCUCAUGAGACCUGACAAUACUCUUAUUUUCAUCCGUUGUGGAUAUUGAAGAUACCUUAGUGAGCAGGGUUUGACUAGGGGCUAAAGACGUUUCCGAAGCUAAAGAACUAUGCGAAGUGACGCCCUGCACAUAGACAAAUAGAUACGAGCUUUUCAAACACCAUUCGAAAUGAAACCAUCAACAAAUCUAUCGAAGCUGAGAAGAAAUAAACUCACAGUGGAGACGUCACUAGCUGCGUUCGUAGCCCUAGAACCCUCACUCACUUGAUCAUUUUUGCUCUCAUCCUCAAACCUGCUUCUCCUCUCACCACCACCACCACUCCCAUCAGAGAACCUAGAUCUCUUCUUCCCUUCCUUAUUCCCGUUCUCCUCCUCUCUCUCUUUCCUCUUGCUCCUCGUUUCCUUAUCUUUACUUCCUUCGUGAGACCUCUCCCUAUCUCUACUCCCUUCCCUCUCGCUUCGCUCGACAGAUCUCCUUCUCUCCCGAGCUCUAUCUCUCUCAUCCUCCCUAUCGUCGCGCCUCGAUGACAGGUGGUGAUCUGAAUCGCGACGCUUUGAAUCUCCAUUGCGAUGGCGGCGUCCGGCUUCGCGUUCCGGCGAACGAUCCGCACUCGAAUCACGAUCGCGAUAGUCCCUGGUGCUCCUGUAUCUCUCCUUAUCCAUGGCGAUUUA
Molecule: long non-coding RNA, 3321 nt
Filed under: Brassica napus (rape)
Lineage: Eukaryota; Viridiplantae; Streptophyta; Magnoliopsida; Brassicales; Brassicaceae
Description: long non-coding RNA (BNAP_LNC007687)
Source: RNAcentral